Mangifera indica (mango) is the source of this 2132-nucleotide RNA transcript. It is a transcript of the gene named ABC transporter I family member 11, chloroplastic, with no coding region annotated. NCBI's taxonomy places the organism in Eukaryota, Viridiplantae, Streptophyta, Magnoliopsida, Sapindales, Anacardiaceae. The transcript is spliced from 13 exons. The record is from RefSeq and is a predicted model, not a curated record.
CAAAAGUUUGGAUUCUCCUCAAGUGAAUUUGCCUAACACUAACACCCAGACCAAACAAAUUUCUCUACCCUUCUAUCAUGGUGAGUUCAAGCUUGGCGCUCUCGUCUCUGCUUCAGUGGACGAAUUUUGAAUUAUCGCGCUCCAUUUCAAACGAAUCACGCUUCAGAUUUCAUUUUCGAAGAACUCGGGCUGUUGGAGUCUCCUGUCAUUAUUCUUGCCUUGAAGUUAAGGACGUUUGCUAUCGACCCCCAGGGACCCAGCUCAACAUCUUAAACAGAGUUAGUUUCUCCCUUCGAGAGAAAAGUUUUGGCUUAAUUUUUGGUAAAAGUGGAAGUGGAAAAACUACUCUAUUGCAGCUUCUUGCUGGACUAAGCAAGCCAACAUCGGGUUCCAUUUAUAUUCAAAAAUAUGGAAAUGAUGGCAGACCAAAUGAGUCUUCUGAACCUUUGCUUGCUGAAAGAGUAGGCAUUGUGUUUCAGUUUCCAGAGAGGUAUUUUGUGGCAGAUAAUGUGCUUGAUGAAGUUAUAUUUGGGUGGCCAAGACAAAGUGGUGGUCUUCAAAUGAAGGAGUACCUUGCUCUGAAUCUCCAAAGAGCUAUUAAUUGGGUUGGAUUGGGUGGGAUCUCUUUGGAUAAGGAUCCUCAUUCUCUCAGUGGUGGCUAUAAGCGUCGGCUUGCAUUGGCAAUUCAGUUAGUACAAAUCCCAGAUUUAUUAAUAUUGGAUGAGCCUCUUGCUGGUCUGGACUGGAAGGCACGUGCAGAUAUUGUGAAGCUUCUGAAGCAUUUGAAGAAAGAAGUAACUAUACUUGUUGUUAGUCAUGACCUCACAGAGUUGGCAACUCUUGUUGAUCGAUCUUGGAGGAUGGACAUGGGUGGAACUUUGAGGGAAGAGCCCCUACCAUUGUAAUUUGGAACCCAGCUCAUUUUUACCUCAUUAAGACAUGAUGCAGUGAGAAGUGAAGCAUUCAAGUUCAGCAUGACCUAGUUAUAUGAACCUGACUUUUGAUGGCAAGACAGGAUAAAAUAACGGUUCUGAGAAAAUCAAGUGUCAGAAGGCAAACCUUAUGGAGUUUCUUGUUGGUUGAAACAGCAGCAGUAUCACCAUUAGAAGGGGCAUGACUAAGACAUCUUUCAGCAGUUGAAGCUUGUCUUCUGAAGUGCCUUUCCUUGCUGUGUGGAAUUCUUCGAUAGAGCCUACUUAAAUUGAGUUUCCAACCGUCUUUUAUCAACAUGUCCCACAAGCAUCUAUAGAAGUAGCAUUAAGCUAAGGAAGAAGCUGUUGUAGGCCUAAAGACAAAAGCCACGCAAGCAUAUUCAGUUUGAAACACCUUUCAACAAGUGGGGUUUUGUUGUCGAAGCUCCACAGGACCCAUUGAUGAACAUGAGCACCAGGUGAUAGCCACGGCUGCAGUUGCUUUCCUGCUGCCCAGUAACUUGCCAUGGAAUCCGGGUCAGCAAAAAUUUCUAUUGUUUUUAUUUGAGCAAGUUCAUUCCUUCAUCCAUUGCAAUAAUGAUUAAUGUGAGACAAGCUUUUUCCAUAACAAUAUAGAGUAACUGUAGAUUGUGAAGUAGGUGUUAUAGGCAUCCUUGUUUGAGCUAGCCAACGAGCAACUAUAAAACACGGGAAAUUAUUGCCUCUUUAAGGAGUAAAGACAAGAGAAUCACUUACACCCUUCUAAAAUUUACACUAAGACAAACAGAAAAACCUGCAAAUAAGUGAGUCAUUGAGUUGGGUGUGUGGUGAGUCCAUUGGUUGAUUAGAUGGUGAACAUGUGAAUUUCACGUGGAGACGUAGAAAUCUAAGUGGCUUCCCAUUUGUUUCUGGAGAGUGAAGAAAACAAUUUACUUUCUUAUUGUUUCCAGAUGGGUUUAGGAUAAAGUAUAUACAAGUUGAUCAUAAGGUGGCCCCAUUUUGGGUACUGGUAAGAUUUACCGUGAUUUAAUCAAGAAAAUAUUUAUGAAGGGCUAUGCCGACCAUCUGUAAUUUGUGAAGAUGCAAUUUUGAUACCAUGUUUCUUUGUUCUCGGUAAUUGGGGAUGCCUUUGAGGCCCAAGACUAGCCCAUAACCUAAACGGGGACGUUUGCCCAUAUGAAAAUAUUAUAACAAGUACAAUUGAACAUAUUAUUUAUUAGA